CUGCUUCCCUAAUUCAUUACCAAUUAGUCCGGGUUUAAGAAAUGUGUAAAUUGUUUCGAAGCGCUCAAGCGUAACUGUCUCGGGCUGAGGUGACUAACUCUCUGACAAAGCCCUAAAAGCGAAUGCAGAUCACCAUCGCUAUAUGAUCAGCGUCCGCCAACUACCUACAUAGUUAUGAAAAUGACCGCGUCAAAAUAUCUUACUAUAUUUACCAUCUAAAAAAGAGACAUAACAUCGCGGGUCUCCCCUUUCACGCAGGUGGUCCUCCUGCCUCAGUCAAGGCCGGGGGGUACGCGCGCCCCCGGCUGAGUGAAGACACGGACAGAUGCAUGCGAAUUUAGUCAUUCAGGUUGCUGGUUGUCCCUGAUUGCAGACCUGCAGCCGUCACUUGCUUUGAACAUCUGGCAUAAUGACCAGUUUCUGCAAUCGCAUAGGACUGAAGUUGUCAACAUUCCUGUCUGUAAACCAUAAUUUAUAAUGAUCAUAUGGUAUAAACAUUCCUGAGGAUAUUGCUUCUGAGAAUAUGAAUAUAGUAUACAUUAUGUAUACUAAUGUAUGUACGUUAGUUUUUAUAUUUGUGUUCGUUAUGUUGGAGCAAUGUCUUGGCUUUUAUAGAUCUAUAGCUAACUGAACAGAAUUGUAUAUUUUGUUAAAUCCAGUUUAUACAGUGGCGGUGAUUAUAUAUGAUAUUACAUAUGUCUACUUACUAAUUAAUACUAGUUAAUAGAUUGAUGGAUUUAAAUUAAUUUGAAUUGGCUGUAGUGCUUUAUGACAGUAUUAUGCAUUUGCUUAUCAUUUACUGCUAGCGUAUCCUAACAUAAAUCAAGGCACAUUCAACAUCUGCAUCUGCAUACCGCUGAUUUUCUGACCACUAGAGGGCGCUGAGCAGCUCUCUUGUUUUAAACAAAUAAAUCAAAGCUCACAGGUUGCCCCAAAAACAUGAACUGUCAGAAUAUAACAAAUAGGAAUCCAUUAGUUAAUUAUGGUGAAAAGUUCAGACGAGGCUGAUGUAAGUAAUCUUUUCACAUUGCCGUUAUAUUUAGGCAUUCUGCAGGACCACAGAGUCAACUCUGGACUGCUACCACUAUCUCCGGCUGGUUCACAGCCCCCCGCCCUCUGCUUGGAUUACUUUUCUCUCAGCAUCUUUAGUAAGUAAGUUAGUUAGUUAGUUACUUUAUUGUCAUGUGUUUCUGACACAGGUGCCUAGAAACAAUGAAAAGCUUAUUCACAUGCAUCACAUAUACUGUACAUUGCGGUGGGCAGUGGUAGCUCAGUGGACGGUUGCUGGUUCAAGCCCCACCACUGCCACUGUUGGGCCCCUGGAUAAAAGCAUCAGCUAAAUGCAGCCAAUGUAAAUGCAUUGCAGCUGAACACGUAUAUAAAAUAUCAAUCCCUAAUAAAAGAUAAUUCAAUACAGUGUAAAAAAAAAUGUAACCAAAAUACAUUUUAAAACCAAUCCUCCUGAAUCCUCUUUCACUUCAAGAACUAACUAAGGCUCUCCUCUUUUGGACUGCUGACAUAAACAACAGCUUCACCCAGGGGCUGACUCGUUAUCUGAUGUCAGUCAGGGCUCCCUCCUAAGUUAUUGACCUGAUCUUUAGUGGGCACAGACUAAUAAUCAGGGUUGACGUUUAUUUAGCAAAUAUGAAAAGAUUUGCUUAAUUGCUGCUCGGCUUGCCUCAAAGGUGGUGGCGACAUGUUUGUAUAUGAUCAUCAAACCUGCUGGGUAGAACCUCAUAGUUUCCAUUUUACAGAUUUUUUUUUUUUUUUUUACAGGUUUAUACAGAUUUAUUAACAUCCAAAAUGUGUACACUUCCCCCUUACUUCAUUAGAAACAUUUCUUAAUAUAAAUGCUCUGUGAGGGUACAGGUGGAGACCAGAGCCCCCCUGUUGCAUUUCAGAAAUUGUGUUACCCGUUCUCCUGCUCUCUAACAUUGGUCAGGUUCUGACCACAGGGUGCACUGUUGCCCGGAGUUUUCUGAGGGCUCAUCCAGUCUCAGCCAUGCAGUGACCUUACCACAGGCAAAAAUUCUAUUUCAGCACUACUGUGUUUGGGGCACUACGGUGGCUGGUGCACUACUGUGUCUGGUGCACUACUGUGUCUGGUGCAGCACCCUCUACCAAGUCACUGCCAUGUUAGUGUGACUACAGUGUUGAGAAUGGUCCACUACCCAAAUAAUAUCAGUAGUUGCCCUGUGGUCAGAAGUGGGCAAUUGAUGAACAGGAUACAGAGUGAAUACCAACAGAAUUGUUCAUACAUAAAAUGCACAUAUAUGAUAAGUGCACAUAAGAAAGUUGCUUUUUACUGUAGGUGCAAGUAUUUCUAAUGAAGUGGGCAGAAUGUGUGUUCAGCCAUGAUGUGUAGGUUCUUUUAGGCACCUUUGCAAAUGACUGGUUGAUUGUUCCUUCACAAUAAAAUCCACCAAGAGGAGUGUGGUGGUCUGAAGGUAGCAAUAGCACUAGGUCAUCAGUCCCUGUAUGGGCCUUUAGAGCUUCAUUCUAUAAGACUGGACAAACUGCUCGAAUUUGCAAUAAAGCAAGCCUUCAGACUCUCUUUCCAAUGAUGCCUCGACAGAUUUACAUUUAAACAUUAUUGUUCACCAUUAUUUCAUAAGUUGACCCCAUAUUUGGGAUUGGUAAACAAUUAUAUGAAAGAUUUGUCUGGUGUUAUAAGAAAAGUACAGUAAUAAUCUUAGUUAUUGAAACACUUAAACACUUAUCAUCAGAAAGAACAUAGUUGAUUCAAAAGGAAAAAAAGUGGAUUGAAUCUGUACUGUAAAGUAUUAUGUAAUGCUUUAGGAGGUGUUAAUAACAAUCUUAAGGCUUAUGUCUUCAGUUCAAGUCUUUCCUCAUGUCACAUUUUUACAAAUCGGGAGCUCUGGAGGAGAAGUGUUGACACAUUGCAAAUGUUUUUUACGAUUACCCUCAACAGCCUGUCAAGAUCUGGUCUGCUUAAGUGCGGCUCCUUUUUACUAAAGUUGCAAACACAAGUGACAAAUGUCCUGUGAUCCAUUGGCGCGUAAAGGAAAAAAAGACAACAAAAAGCAUCGAGGUGCACAUGUUGUUCUGCACAGUGAAAGUACCACUGAACAGACACAAGAUGAGAAAGGUACACUCACACCUCUAGUUAUACCUUAUUUAUACCUUUGCAACCUGUUCUUAAGAACUGUUGGUAAGAUUUUGAAAUGUAAUUCAACCUUUGAUGAUAAGAUACUGGGAUUUCUCUGGACAUUUGAUUGAUCUAUGAGUCCUUGGUGUUCUUAUGAGUCAUCUACUGUAGGCUAUGUAAAACCCUGAAAAGAGAAUAAUCUGCAAAAUAUGUUUUACAAUGACAUAAAAUUGUAUUAAACCAUUUUUAGAAUACUAGCUAUAAAAAAACCCUCAAACAACUAAACAACAAACACAAACUACAGACAUUUGCAGAUGGGAUCAAUUUUUAUCAUAUCUAUGCAGCACUGUAAAUCCCAUUUUCGUAUGAUAUGGCUCUUGUAAGACCAUAUACCUCCAGUUUGAUAAUAUAGCUAUAUUUCUCACAAAAGGCAUUAAUUAAUAAGGAGAAGCAAUAAGCAAUUUAAAAGACAGUAAAGGAUUGUUUUCAGACAAUUACAUUCUUCAUAAAGAGAGUCAUUGUCUACCAGUGCCAGAUUAGUAUGCAUAGAAACCAUUCUUGUUCUCCUGACCCUUAGUGUAACUAGGGUUCUUAGGUCAUAAUGUAAUUGGAGAUCACAUUCUGUUCUCUGUUUUGGCAAAUCCAGUACAUUCUCUCCCUGUUGAGAGGAAUGAAACUACUCUACUUUUUUUAAAGACAGAGAAACCUGUCAGCCAGAUGUUUUUUUUUUUUUUCUGUAAUGAACAAAGUGUAUGGUGAAGUAAGCAUUUUGACACAACAACAACAACAAAAAAUCUCAGAGCAAAAUUAAUGGUGGACAUAAUUUUCCAUGACCAAGUUAUUGUUUUAUAUGGUAGAUGAUUUAUGUCUUGCUUGGUUUACAUGCCAUCUAUUCUAUACAGUUGUGAUGGUAUUAAAGACAUUCUUUAAUGUCUGUUUUUUGUCUAAUUUGUGAUUUCAAUUAAGCACCUAAUUAUUCAAAGACACUUCAUGUCAUGUCUAGUUUAUA
Molecule: long non-coding RNA, 4118 nt
Organism: Electrophorus electricus (electric eel)
Lineage: Eukaryota; Metazoa; Chordata; Actinopteri; Gymnotiformes; Gymnotidae
Source: RefSeq, a predicted model, not a curated record